RNAcentral lists this ribosomal RNA (404 nucleotides) under Actinomycetes bacterium. RNAcentral's name for it is "Actinobacteria bacterium partial 16S ribosomal RNA". It matches the Rfam family "Bacterial small subunit ribosomal RNA", at positions 355 to 776 of the family's 1533-position model. Lineage: Bacteria; Bacillati; Actinomycetota; Actinomycetes. The record is from RNAcentral.
UGGGGAAUAUUGGACAAUGGGCGCAAGCCUGAUCCAGCCAUGCCGCGUGAGUGAUGAAGGCCCUAGGGUUGUAAAGCUCUUUCACCGGUGAAGAUAAUGACGGUAACCGGAGAAGAAGCCCCGGCUAACUUCGUGCCAGCAGCCGCGGUAAUACGAAGGGGGCUAGCGUUGUUCGGAUUUACUGGGCGUAAAGCGCACGUAGGCGGACUUUUAAGUCAGGGGUGAAAUCCCGGGGCUCAACCCCGGAACUGCCUUUGAUACUGGAAGUCUUGAGUAUGGUAGAGGUGAGUGGAAUUCCGAGUGUAGAGGUGAAAUUCGUAGAUAUUCGGAGGAGAACCAGUGGCGAAGGCGGCUCACUGGACCAUUACUGACGCUGAGGUGCGAAAGCGUGGGGAGCAAACAGG